Molecule: ribosomal RNA, 2435 nt
Filed under: Streptomyces sp. NRRL WC-3773
Lineage: Bacteria; Bacillati; Actinomycetota; Actinomycetes; Kitasatosporales; Streptomycetaceae
Source: RNAcentral
GUCGUGACUGCGUGCCUUUUGAAGAAUGAGCCUGCGAGUUUGCGGUAUGUUGCGAGGUUAACCCGUGUGGGGAAGCCGUAGCGAAAGCGAGUCCGAAGAGGGCGUUGAGUAGCGUGCCCAAGACCCGAAGCGGAGUGAUCUAGCCAUGGGCAGGUUGAAGCGGAGGUAAGACUUCGUGGAGGACCGAACCCACCAGGGUUGAAAACCUGGGGGAUGACCUGUGGUUAGGGGUGAAAGGCCAAUCAAACUCCGUGAUAGCUGGUUCUCCCCGAAAUGCAUUUAGGUGCAGCGUCGUGUGUUUCUUGCCGGAGGUAGAGCACUGGAUAGGCGAUGGGCCCUACCGGGUUACUGACCUUAGCCAAACUCCGAAUGCCGGUAAGUGAGAGCGCGGCAGUGAGACUGUGGGGGAUAAGCUCCAUGGUCGAGAGGGAAACAGCCCAGAGCAUCGACUAAGGCCCCUAAGCGUGUGCUAAGUGGGAAAGGAUGUGGAGUCGCAGAGACAACCAGGAGGUUGGCUUAGAAGCAGCCAUCCUUGAAAGAGUGCGUAAUAGCUCACUGGUCAAGUGAUUCCGCGCCGACAAUGUAGCGGGGCUCAAGCACACCGCCGAAGUCGUGUCAUUGCAGUACAUACUCCUAACGGGGACUGUGAUGGGUAGGGGAGCGUCGUGUGCCGGGUGAAGCAGCACCGGAAGGUAGUUGUGGACGGUUCACGAGUGAGAAUGCAGGCAUGAGUAGCGAUACACACGUGGGAAACGUGUGCGCCGAUUGACUAAGGGUUCCUGGGUCAAGCUGAUCUGCCCAGGGUAAGUCGGGACCUAAGGCGAGGCCGACAGGCGUAGUCGAUGGACAACCGGUUGAUAUUCCGGUACCCGCUUUGAAGCGCCAAACAUCGAAUCCAUUAAUGCUAAGGCCGUGAAGCCGCCCUGAGCUCUUCGGAGCGUAGGGGAGUGGUGGAGCCGCUGAUCCAAGGUGGUAGUAGGUGAGUGAUGGGGUGACGCAGGAAGGUAGUCCAGCCCGGGCGGUGGUUGUCCCGGGGUAAGGGUGUAGCCCGUCAUCUAGGCAAAUCCGGAUGACAUGUAAGGGUGAGACCUGAUGCCGAGCCGAUUGUGGUGAAGUGGAUGAUCCUAUGCUGUCGAGAAAAGCCUCUAGCGAGUUUCAUGGCGGCCCGUACCCUAAACCGACUCAGGUGGUCAGGUAGAGAAUACCGAGGCGUUCGGGUGAACUAUGGUUAAGGAACUCGGCAAAAUGCCCCCGUAACUUCGGGAGAAGGGGGGCCACGGCUGGUGAUCACCCUUGCGGUGUGAGCUGGUGGUGGCCGCAGAGACCAGCGAGAAGCGACUGUUUACUAAAAACACAGGUCCGUGCGAAGCCGUAAGGCGAUGUAUACGGACUGACGCCUGCCCGGUGCUGGAACGUUAAGGGGACCGGUUAGCUCCAUUUCGGUGGGGCGAAGCUGAGAACUUAAGCGCCAGUAAACGGCGGUGGUAACUAUAACCAUCCUAAGGUAGCGAAAUUCCUUGUCGGGUAAGUUCCGACCUGCACGAAUGGCGUAACGACUUCUCGACUGUCUCAACCAUAGGCCCGGUGAAAUUGCACUACGAGUAAAGAUGCUCGUUUCGCGCAGCAGGACGGAAAGACCCCGGGACCUUUACUAUAGCUUGAUAUUGGUGUUCGGUUCGGCUUGUGUAGGAUAGGUGGGAGACUGUGAACUCGUCACGCCAGUGGCGGGGGAGUCGUUGUUGAAAUACCACUCUGGUCGUGCUGGAUGUCUAACCUGGGUCCGUGAUCCGGAUCAGGGACAGUGUCUGGUGGGUAGUUUAACUGGGGCGGUUGCCUCCUAAAGAGUAACGGAGGCGCCCAAAGGUUCCCUCAGCCUGGUUGGCAAUCAGGUGUUGAGUGUAAGUGCACAAGGGAGCUUGACUGUGAGACUGACGGGUCGAGCAGGUACGAAAGUAGGGACUAGUGAUCCGGCGGUGGCUUGUGGAAGCGCCGUCGCUCAACGGAUAAAAGGUACCCCGGGGAUAACAGGCUGAUCUUCCCCAAGAGUCCAUAUCGACGGGAUGGUUUGGCACCUCGAUGUCGGCUCGUCGCAUCCUGGGGCUGGAGUCGGUCCCAAGGGUUGGGCUGUUCGCCCAUUAAAGCGGUACGCGAGCUGGGUUUAGAACGUCGUGAGACAGUUCGGUCCCUAUCCGCUGUGCGCGUAGGAUGGGUUGAUAGGCCAGAUAUGGAAGCCUGGUAACGGGUGGAGUUGACUGGUACUAAUAGGCCGAGGGCUUGUCCUCAGUUGCUCGCGUCCACUGUGUGCUCGCGUCCACUGUGUUAGUUCUGAAGUAACGAACUCGCCUUGUCGGCAGGGUUGUUAUCUUCAUAGUGUUUCGGUGGUCAUAGCGUUAGGGAAACGCCCGGUUACAUUUCGAACCCGGAAGCUAAGCCUU